RNAcentral lists this small RNA (125 nucleotides) under Salmonella enterica subsp. enterica serovar Muenchen. Its description in RNAcentral is "partial RtT sRNA". It matches the Rfam family "RtT RNA". Rfam says of the family: This family represents a bacterial cis-regulatory element known as RtT RNA. Lineage: Bacteria; Pseudomonadati; Pseudomonadota; Gammaproteobacteria; Enterobacterales; Enterobacteriaceae. The record is from RNAcentral. RNAcentral also lists the same sequence under 1 other name.
AUAUCUCUCUGUACGGGAAGGAUGAGAAGCUUCGACUAAGGUUCGAUUCGAGCGCAGCGAGAAAGCGUUGCCGCAGGCAACGACCCGAAGGGCGAAGCGCGCAGCGCUGAGUAAUCCUUCCCCCA